Molecule: long non-coding RNA, 219 nt
Filed under: Rhinopithecus bieti (black snub-nosed monkey)
Lineage: Eukaryota; Metazoa; Chordata; Mammalia; Primates; Cercopithecidae
Description: lncRNA (ENSRBIG00000045067.1)
Source: RNAcentral
GGGUAUCUCACAUGUGCAUCUGCAAGCCUGGGAGAGAUUUCCUCACCUCACUUCCCAGUGCACCUCAAUGGGCCAAAAUAUGCUCUCAAGCUUCAGCAUCGCUGCUGGCUGCUGGCUGUGGCAACACCGCUGUGCUCACCUUUGACAGAGCUCUCCUGACCAGAAAGGGGGAUGCACAGGAGGAAGACGAUAACAAGUGAGAGCACACUCCCACCACCA